Molecule: ribosomal RNA, 254 nt
Filed under: uncultured prokaryote
Description: partial 16S ribosomal RNA
Rfam family: Bacterial small subunit ribosomal RNA
Source: RNAcentral
UACGAGGGGAGCAAGCGUUGUUCGGAUUUACUGGGCGUAAAGGGCGCGUAGGCGGUCGUGACAAGUCACUUGUGAAAUCUCCGGGCUUAACUCGGAACGGUCAAGUGAUACUGUCGGACUAGAGUACAGAAGGGGCAACUGGAAUUCUCGGUGUAGCGGUGAAAUGCGUAGAUAUCGAGAGGAACACCUGUGGCGAAGGCGCCUUGCUGGCCAAUUUCUGACGCUGAGGCGCGAAAGCGUGGGGAGCAAACAGG